AAGCUAACGGUAGAUGGUGUUCCG
This 24-nucleotide non-coding RNA is filed under the name Arabidopsis thaliana (thale cress). The record is from RNAcentral. Lineage: Eukaryota; Viridiplantae; Streptophyta; Magnoliopsida; Brassicales; Brassicaceae.